Molecule: transfer RNA, 73 nt
Filed under: Felis catus (domestic cat)
Lineage: Eukaryota; Metazoa; Chordata; Mammalia; Carnivora; Felidae
Also listed under: 6 other names
Rfam family: tRNA
About the family: Transfer RNA (tRNA) molecules are approximately 80 nucleotides in length. Their secondary structure includes four short double-helical elements and three loops (D, anti-codon, and T loops). Further hydrogen bonds mediate the characteristic L-shaped molecular structure. tRNAs have two regions of fundamental functional importance: the anti-codon, which is responsible for specific mRNA codon recognition, and the 3' end, to which the tRNAs corresponding amino acid is attached (by aminoacyl-tRNA synthetases). tRNAs cope with the degeneracy of the genetic code in two manners: having more than one tRNA (with a specific anti-codon) for a particular amino acid; and 'wobble' base-pairing, i.e. permitting non-standard base-pairing at the 3rd anti-codon position.
Source: Rfam by way of RNAcentral
GCCUGGCUGGCUCAGUCAGUGGAGCAUGUGACUCUUGAUCUUGAGGUUGUGGGUUCAAGCCCCAUGUUGGGUG